Small nuclear RNA from Lontra canadensis (Northern American river otter), 107 nucleotides. Lineage: Eukaryota; Metazoa; Chordata; Mammalia; Carnivora; Mustelidae. The record is from RefSeq and is a predicted model, not a curated record.
GUGCUCGCCUCAGCAGCACAUAUACUAAAAUUAAAACAAUACAGAGAAAAUUAGCAUGGUUCCUGCACAAGGAUGACACACAAAUUUGUGAAUCAUUCCAUAUUUUU